UACGAAGGGGGCUAGCGUUGCUCGGAAUCACUGGGCGUAAAGCGCACGUAGGCGGACUCUUAAGUCGGUGGUGAAAUCCUGGAGCUCAACUCCAGAACUGCCUUCGAUACUGGGAGUCUCGAGUUCGGGAGAGGUGAGUGGAACUGCGAGUGUAGAGGUGAAAUUCGUAGAUAUUCGCAAGAACACCAGCGGCGAAGGCGGCUCACUGGCCCGAUACUGACGCUGAGGUGCGAAAGCGUGGGGAGCAAACAGG
Molecule: ribosomal RNA, 253 nt
Filed under: uncultured bacterium
Lineage: Bacteria
Description: partial 16S ribosomal RNA
Rfam family: Bacterial small subunit ribosomal RNA
Source: RNAcentral